UGGUGGAAAGGAGAGAGCGGAGGGCAAUUGCGAGCCUGAGGAGGAGCGUCCUCAAAAUCAAGCGUUUCUGAAGCCCGGGACAGAUGCUUUCUGUGUUGUUCUAAAACACGCUUGUAAGGAGGAGAAUCCUCGGUUCAGAAGAGCUGAGGAGAGGCCACAGUUGAACUCAGACACCAGGAGAGAGAGGCUUUGAAUCUGCCUGAAAGCCAUCCUAUUUUUUGCUGACAAUGUGCAGGUACAUUGCUUUUGCUGUGGACCCCAGCCUUUUGCCAGCCAUGUGUAUAUCCCACCUAGGCUCCUCAUGCCUUGCUUCUAGUGGCUUUUGAGUCUGUGCUAACAUGAGAGAUCUUCUAACAUAAUAAUUAAGAGAAUGGGUUUAGAGCCAUGCAGACCUGUGUUUAAAGACAUCUGUGCUCCACCAUUUAGCACAGAGAUUGCCACUGAUAUAAAUACUUGAUGCUUUCUCAGCAUGACUGGAAUACGGUCCAAGGAACUGAGCCUCUGCUGAGUGCAAUAAUAAGUAAGUCAUUCAGUGGAGCCCUAGCUGUUAUUGGAUGUGGAUUUUGCAAAACCACAAGUGGAACUUCAGGCAACACAUGGUCCUAAUGUUUCCCCUAGAAGGACAUGGAUAUUCCAAUGGAAUGACACGUCCAGCUUUGAAUUCCUGCCACGCAGUUAGCAGUGUCCAAAGAAUCAGUGACAACAGAGAGAAGACUGAGAUAGCAGGAAGCUAUGUGAAGAAACUCUUCCUUCAACUGUACUCUAAUGUGUUAGAAAAUUCUUGAAAAGACUUGGGAUGAGAGUUGUCUAAAUAAUCAUCAGCUCUAGUUUGGCAUCAUUAGCAAUUUGUCUGUGAACUUUGUGGACCUUAACUGAGGAAUAUAAGAGUGAAAGACGUUUGGAGCUGAAUUAUUGGAUUGCCAUUGUUUGACCUACCUGCCAUCCAUGAACCUCUCCUAUUAAGAUCUUCAGAAUGGAAAUUUAACUUCAUCAUCAUCCUGCAAUGUUUCAUUCAUGACAGUGUCACGUAUGGACAAAUGUAAGUCUCCACUUGAGUUUCUGUGAUACAGGAUCCUCUUAGCCAGCAGUGACAAAGAUGUAAGUGAAAGUAGUGGAACCUACAAAUUCAUCACUGUGCAUCAGACUAUAUUUACCAUAAGAUAUAACUGGAAAAUGCCUUCAAACUGAUGCUAGAUUUUACAGAUUGCUGCUUGCCCCAACCCAAGGGUUUUGAGCUGUGGAUCACUUACCUAGAAAAAUUCUAUCAAUCAAAGUUAAAGAUGGCAGGACACUGCAUGGCUGGGAUUGGAAGACCUCAGAGGCUUCUUGUUAAACAUAUGGGAUUUUUCAACAUGAAAAUCCACUUGUUACAAGUGUUAUAUAACUGCAUAUUAAGGCUGAGAGAUGUCCUCCUGGAGACUGGACCUGAGACUGGGUUCACAUCAGUAAAGUUAGAAAAAGCCUAAAUGCAGAAGCAUUUUUCAGAGACUUGAAACUAGAGGCCAUGUAUGGGUCAUCAGCAGGAACAGUGGAUUCUGUUCUAAAAUGUUGCUGCUUUAUAAAAACAAUGAGAACCGUGGGGAAAAAAAUGCUCAAAUCAACUUUUUAAAAACUCCAUGUGUAACUGAAAGCUUGUAAAAAUCAGAGACAACUUAGUUCAAGAAAAACUGUUGAAUCUUGGUAAGAAAAUUUUAUUUCCAUUCCCUCAUCCCAGCUCUGAAAUAACCUUGACAAACCAUUGGCUUUUCAAUUAUGGUGAAAAACAGCAGCCUAGCAGCCACCGGAGGUAAUAUAACAAGUUAGAGCUCCCUAAAAGCAUCAUUUUCAGAGAAUUGUCGUUACUUAACCUGUCUGGCAUUUACCUGGAAAUCUUCAUCCUAAGGCUUGUCUUUAUUUGACCUAAUUCAGAGCUUAGUCACUACAAACAUCUUCUGUCUGAGUGUAUUUGUCAACAACAACAACAAAAGUAGCAGUCUCCUUAAUAUUGCAACUUCCCGUGGCAGUGAUAACAAUUAGGGUUAACAAAAACUUCCUAAAAGAUGUAAAAGGAAAAUACUGAGAUUGAGAUGUCCAUGGAGAGCUUUGGAAAGCUCUAAUAUAUUUCAGGGAAUCAAGAAGGCCACACAGGUGUCAAGGACUGUGCCCAUGUCCAAGGCUGUUUAUAUUCCCAGGAAAGAAGUAAGCAUAUCCUAAACUCUCACUUCUCAUUGACCUUGAGGCUCUAGGCAAGCAGAAAGUGAAGACUGAAACAGAAGUGUAGACUACCUGUCUGAGCAUUGCACGUGUGCCAUAGGACACACACAGUCCCACAACAAAGAAUGGAGAAUUUAUUGGUGCCAGUUAUUUAAGGGCAAAGUUGAUGAAUUGGACUUUAUUGAAAUGAAAUCUUCUGUUCUCAAGACACUGGAAAAUAAGCUAGAGACUGGAAGAAAAUAUUUGCAGAUCACACAUAUGAGAAAGAACAUGUAUCUAGAAUAUAUAAAAACACUCAAAACUCAAUAAGAAAGAAGCCCACUCAAUAAUAAAUGAAUGAAAUUUUUGAACACUUUACCAAAGAAGACUUAUGGAUGGCAAGUAGGCAGUUGAGGAAUGAAUAAACAAGCUGUUGUGCAUCCAUAUAGUGGCAUACUUCUAAGCAACAAAAAGAAAUGUACUAUUAUUAUUACAUGUGAUGGCAUGAGUAAAUCUCAAGUGUGUUGCUCUGUGUGAAGAGUCUGAUUUUAUAUAUUGUAGAAUUUCAUUUAAAAGACGUUCUU
Molecule: long non-coding RNA, 2756 nt
Filed under: Sus scrofa (pig)
Lineage: Eukaryota; Metazoa; Chordata; Mammalia; Artiodactyla; Suidae
Description: lncRNA (ENSSSCG00000036144.3)
Source: RNAcentral